Molecule: long non-coding RNA, 2046 nt
Filed under: Podarcis lilfordi (Lilford's wall lizard)
Lineage: Eukaryota; Metazoa; Chordata; Lepidosauria; Squamata; Lacertidae
Source: RNAcentral
GAAGAAUUGAUGCUUUUGAAUUAUGAUGCUGGAGGAGACUUUUGAGAGUCCCAUGGACUGCAAGAAGACCAAACCUAUCCAUUCUGAAGGAAAUCAGCCCUGAGUGCUCACUAGAGGACAGAUCCUGAAGCUGAGGCUCCAGUACUUUGGCCACCUCAUGAGAAGAGAAGACUCCCUGGAAAAGAUCCUGAUGUUGGGAAAGAUGGAGGGAACAAGAAGAAGGGGAUGACAGAGGACAAGAUGGUUGGAUGGUGUUCUCGAAGCUACGAACAUAAGUUUGACCAAACUGUGGGAGGCAGUGGAAGACAGGAGUGCCUGGCGUGCUCUGGUCCAUGGGGUCACAAAGAGUUGGAUAUGACUAAACGACUAAACAACAACAAAAUCUAUCUAUAGCUAUAGUUUUUGCAGAGUGGAUUUAACAGACCUCCCAAUAUUUGACUGCCACUUCACAAUGCUUGUCAAAUUAAUCUGUCAAAAUCAGCUCUGAGUCUUAUAAUUCUGAACUGAAUUCAUAGCACAUGCAGGUGUAUGCAUGUGUCUGAAAUUAUCUCUUUCAUUUCAGAAAUGCCCACCUGUGGGCUUGUGUGUGCAUUGGACAUGCUCUUGACUCCACUUGGAAAUCUCAGAUAAUAGCAUUUGCACAAUGCUUUUGAGUUUCUAAGCAGGCACUCCACAUAUAUUAUCCUGUUUCUAAACCUUGCAACAAACCAAAGAGCUAGGUCAAUAUUAUUAUUCCUGUCUUGCAUAUGAAGAGGGCCAGGGCAUAAGCAAAGAGAGCACACCUUGCCUAAAGACACUAAGUGAGUUCCUGGUAGCGGUGGGAUUUUACAACAGGGACUUAUUGAAUCUUAGACACCUGCUUUACACCUAGGAACAUGCAACGAUUGGUUAGAACGUCAAAUAACAUAUGUUACACAAGCAAGGAUCAGUGCAACUAUUUGAAAGUCCCUUGGGUUUAGGAGUGGGUUGGAGUUGUUUUUGGAAAGAUGUAGAUACCUCAAUAACCAGAUCGCUAUCAAUUUUUUCAAUAGGUGGCAGUGUUCUCCUACUUUCAUACCUCGAUGGCAGAUUUCACAGCAGAAAAAACCCCCAUGAAGAUAAUGGCCUGGAUCCAAACUACCACAUAACAAAUGUGUUGUUCUGUUACAAUAUGCUCUAGGUGGAGCUGCCUUUGAAGAUCUGAAAACUAUAGCUGGUUCAGAAUGCCGCUGCCAGACUGUUGAUAUGUGGUGCGUAUGAGCAUUUGACUCCAUUGCUAUUUAAUCUGCUUUGCAUCCUGGUGCGUUUCUCAGCCCAAAUCAAAGUGCUACUGGUUAUCUUUAAAGUUUAAAGACAACAAGUGGUACUUUGAAUUCCGCUCAGAAACACAGAAGGAGCCACUGCAAAGCUAAAUGAUUUGCGUCUGGAAUACCUAAAAGUCUGGUUGCGCCUACAUGGCUCUGUCUAUCUAUUAAGCUCUUAUGAGGAGACUCUGGACCACACCUCAAUGCUGUCUGAGGUGUGCUUGUUGGUUAUGGGGGACAAGUCUUCUCAGUGGUGGAUCCUGAGGUCUGGAAUCUUCCUCAAAAGGUUUGUUCAGCCCUUCCCUCCUAACCUUCAGGGAAACAGCCUUGUUUAGAAAUGCCUUUUAUAUAGUUUUGUUUUUAAACAAAUUACUUGUGGUUUUAAAUUGAUGCUAUUGUUUUGUUCUGUUUACAACCUGUUUUGGGGACUCCAUUUGGAGUAAAAAGAAGGAUAUGGCUAUAUGAAUAAAUGAAAUAAAUGAACGACUUCUGCACUCUUAAGGGUGUGUGUGUGUGUGUGUUUCUCAUAUAGCAGGUGGUGUGAACUUUUGGUCCUUUUGGCCAUGCUUGCUGAAGCUGAUAGGAGUUGUAGUUUAGCAACAUCUGGAGGGCCAAAGGUUCCCCACACCUUUCAUACAGUAUAUGAGGGAAUGGUUGUAACUCAGGGGUAGAGCUUUGGCCUGGCAUGCAGAAGGCCCAAGUUCAUUCCCAGGCAUCUUCAAGUAGAGGUGGGAAAGAGUCCUGCUUGAAACUCUGGCCAGCG